Molecule: long non-coding RNA, 5983 nt
Organism: Oxyura jamaicensis (ruddy duck)
Lineage: Eukaryota; Metazoa; Chordata; Aves; Anseriformes; Anatidae
Exons: 4
Source: RefSeq, a predicted model, not a curated record
GGCCGCCCGGGCCUCAUUACCAUAAUCUGCCUGGCAACAGUCUGCGGCGCCGCGCGCUGAUUGGCUGAAACGCGCCCGCCCGCCAAGACCGGGCGCAAAAGUCGUCAAGAAAAGAGUCGGGAGGCAGGCAGUUCUUCUCAACUCCUCUGGGCAGUUCUGUUAACUUGAAUUAUGGAAGCUAUGGAGUCAAUUUCUUCCUCUACUCUGUAAAACAGUUUCAAUUUCAUUAUACCACGCUGAAAUGUUGGGAUAACAAAUAGUGCAAGAAAAAAAUGUAAGACCAAAUAAAAUUACUUUAUUUCCAACGUCUUAACAGUGAUUUGUACUCAUUUUAGAAAACCAAAGCGUUUUCAUGCUGUUGUAUUUUUAUCUGGGAUAUCUGAGAGCCUCCCUAACAUUUUGAAGACUUGAAACAUUUUAGAACUGACUUGGAUACAAGCGGGUAUUGUGCCAUGUUUUCAUGCAACUAUAUCGUUCUGCAACUGAGCACAAAACAGCGUGGGACUUCAGGGCUGUCCUUUCCUGGCACAUGGGUCAUGUUCUGAAAGUUAUUUGGGGAUAUUUUCUUCCCUUAGCUUGGAAAGACUGAUUCAGGGCAAGUGCACAGUGGAUGUAGAAGGCUGCCAGAUGCAGAAAAGGCAUGCUGCUCUGAUUCAUCAUCUGCAGUAUCUGGAAUCUGAUGUAAUGCCCAUUGUAUUUCCCACAUUUAAUGUGUUCUUUCUGAUGCUCCAGCACAGGCUUUGUUUUUCCAAAAGCCUCGUGCUGCCAGAGUGAGAGAAGCCUUCACAUUAGGUUAAUUUAUUUAUUUCUAGUCCUCAUAGAUAGUCCAAAUAAUUUCCCUGUUCGCCUGUCUGGAACACUGCUGUAACCCUUCACUGAAUCCUCCUUUCUCUCAUCUCCUGGGUCAUCAGGUCUGUAUCUCCAUCUGCAUUGUCUCAUUCGUAUACUGCUGUUUCAGCACUGCCUCUGCUGCUUCUGUCCUGCCUUGCCUAUUUUGUCUUCCCCACGGCCUACACGGCUCGUUUUUCUGGACCGCAGCGCUGUCUCCCACGCAAGCGUGUGUAUUCUCAUCCUCCCAGCGAGGGCCGUGCUCUCAUUUCAGGCUCCAGCUGGAAAAGGAUGCUGCAACCCCGCCCUGUUUCAUUUAUUUGCAAAUAUCUUUUUGACCCAACUCAUCUUGAGCAUCCCCAUCGCCUGGUAAAACCGCUGUCACAAGUCUUUGCCUUAACAAGCAAGCCCCCAGACCUCCUCCCUCCAGGACCACCGCUCCCUAAAGCUGCUCGGCGACCCUCCAGCCUCCUUUCAGACCGCCAAAGCUUUUCUGUUCUUUUCCUGUCCAUAUCUCUUUGUUGCUGCUUUUGUUGGGGCUGAUUUUUCAUGACGUUCCCCUUCUGAGAGGCAUGUAGAUUAAAACAUGACAAAGAAAAAUGCUCAAGUGCUGUAAACUCAUUUGAGUUAUGUAAGGAGACCGUGCCUCGCUGGCCCUGUUGACCUCUCCAGACUACGUCUGUGCAUGAUAAGUAGGCACUUGCAUCCAGGUUUGCAAAUUAAACUGUGCGUGGAAUUGGGCUGUGCACUGUAGUAUCCAUUGAACUUCCCUUGUGCAAGGCUGAUUUAAAAUACUAAUCUAGAAGAUGGAAGAAAAUGUUGGUUAGAACCUUCUAAAUUAUAUUGCAACUGAAAUGUGAUUACUUUACAUCCUGCAUGGAGAAUACAAAACACGGUGAAGGUAAUGAUAUGAGUUUACUGAUUUAGAAUAAGCCACAGAAAAUUUAAUUAAGAUUGCUUCAUGUAAAACAUACAAAUGUAACAAAAUGCUCCUGUUUUGGUUUCCAGAGUCAUUCACCCCAGAGAAGGGGGGGAAAAAAAAGUUUCUUUUUAACAAGGUUAAAAAUUCCCCUUAUUCUGCAAGGAAAAAGUUUCACUAAAAAAGUUUGGCUGUAACUGUGUUUUAAUAGCAUCUACCUAGUAAUCUCAAAAUCGCUUUGACUUAAAACUAAGUGAAAGGUGUACCAUUUCAUCACAUACGUUCACUUUUGACUACCUUUUUUUUUUCUGUCAUUCAUUCCCCAAUAUUAAAUAAAUAUGGUCAGCAGGCAAAAUAAAUGAAAAAAUAAUUUACAUGCCCCAUAACAAUCCUUAUUGUGCCUUUUGUAGGAAGCACGUAGAGUUUUAGGAAAAAGCAGCUUUUCAGUUCCCCAUGAACACCCACUAGAAGCCAUGCCGUGGUAUAUGAAUUGGGAAAGUGUGUUCUGGCUGCAGAAAUGCCUGCGGGAAAAGCACUUUGCCAUUCGCAUGCCACCAUCUCCCUCCUCCAUUACAAAAGGCUGCUGCUUCUGAAGGCGUCUUGAAAUCUGAGUUCAGUAGGAGGGAAAAAUCAGCCACCAAAGUUUGGCGUUUCACAAGAUUGGAGGUAAACUGCUUUUGUUCGCAGGCUUCUCCAGAGCAGGGAACAUUUUUCAUUCUUUCUGUGCACGGCUGCUACAGGGGAGUCGCGGCCCACAGGCGAGGCAGCAGCUUGUGGCAGCAGUAAAUGCCCACGCUCACAGGCAGAUAAGGGAACACGUGAACCAGCGUUUUUUUGCAUUUCAAGACUUUCUAAUUAGAGCAUUUCCCAGAAGCCUGCACUGGACAGAUGUAGUUCAACUUCAAAUCCAGGUCAGCCACUUGAUCUCGGAUUACUGUUCGUUCAGUCCCUACAAACCUCUUCCCCGAGAAGGACGUUCAGCCUUCACGCGAUUAGCCCCGCAGCACUUAGCAGGACAUACCCAGCUGUGGUGGCUGGCGGUUUGCUCAGGUUCGGGUGCCACCAGCAGCCACUCCUGGUUACGUAGGAGCCUUGUCAUUACGGGAGAUACUUGUGCAUCAGCCACACAGUAAGCAAAGGAUAUCUUGAUUUCCUCUCCGUUAAGCAGGCUGGGAUGAUUCCAAACUAUUCAUGAUGUUUGUCGGUAUUUCUGAAUUUGCUAGAAAUAAAAAGCUUGACCAGAAAUAAAUAUUUUCUCUCAGAAUUAGCACUGUAUCUAGGCAUUAUAAUAAAGACUCAUCACAAAGAAUUUAACAGACUUCAGUUUUCUAGAACAUUUUCCUGUGUCCAGCCCUGAAAAAGGACUUGUUAGUACAGGUCCCUCCGACAGCUGUUUUCAAAAAAGAGAGUGAGUUGAUAAAAUCAGGCUUAGCCAGCCUCUGCUGGGAAAGAAGGGAUCCUUCAGAGAUAUUAUUCUUACUUCUGGAUACUGUUAGUUGAUAAAAAAGAAAGGCAACAUGGAAAAAGUUUGGUGAUAAGUUAUGUUUGAUGCUUGAUCUGCUGCCACAUUUUCUGAAAACCAUGUUUGAUAACCUAAUCUAGGUAUAUGCCAACCAUAGAUGCUAUUUACUCGGGCUUUUUGUAAAACAGCAAAAAAUAAAUCCCCUGUCCGGGAAAAUCCACUAUGAAUUUCAAUAUGUACCAAGAUGGUUAGUCUGUCUCCUCCCAGAUGCUCAGAAAUGAAGAAGUUGGGCCCUUCUCAUCAGUGUAGGAGUUAGAGGGAGGUUCCCAGCCACCAAAUCCCCUGCAUCACAGCCACCACGACGUAUCUCCUCAGCAAGCUUCCUCUUAAGGGAAGCUGACAUUUUUGUUCUUGUAGCCUUGACCGGGAGACUCCUCUGGGUGUCACUGAGGACAAGUAAGGGAAUUUUUUGUCAAGGCUUAUUUCUACUUAUUUGUUCUCAUGCCAAGAUUUUUGCGUUGCUUAAAGAGGGGACUUAUUUUUUCUUUCCCCGGUGUUUAUUCUCCUAUGUAUUUAUAGACAGCAGUCAUACCCUCUCCUGGAGUUUGUUUUGUUAGACUACACGAGUCACAUUCCUUUUAUCUUCUCCUGUACAAUAUGUUCUCCAAUCUCCAGUUUGUCUUACUAGCUCCUCUGCUGGAGUGCCAUAACAGAACAUUUGAAAAACAGUGUAAGUUAUGUGAUACAUUUUUUGAAGCAGCUUCAGAAAGCCUUAUUGAUUUUUAAGGAAAGAAAUCUUCCCCUGAAAAAUCUUCAGCUCCUUUCAAGAGAAUAGAUCUCUAAGCUUGUGAGAGCACCCACCAGCCACAGCCCCAUCCAACAGAGCCCAAACUGGAGACAGCAACCAGAACCAUCUGAGAAUCCAGAUCAUCGAGCAACCCCAAGGAGAUGAGGCAGGUCAGUACAGCCAGGAAUGAAACCCCCAGACCACAAUACAGCCCGGCAAGGACAACGAAGGUUAGCCAAAACACAGCAAUCACUAGUCAAUCUGUUGCCCUACAACACAGCCAUGCUCCUCCAGGAUCACUCAGGUGUGCCCAGACACCUGGCCAGCCACCAAACAGAGGUGUUUUCUUCGAAGCAGCGGAUUUACACAAUAAUCUGUGACCUGGGGGAAGAAGUGAUCUGCCAAGCUUUCAGAAUCCCUUUCCAGCUGCAGAGGCUGGUGUUGGUGGAAGGGUUGAAGCAGGCACCUGGAAUGAGCUGGGUUGUCUGAGUAAGAGAUGACUUCUUGCUUCAAGCAGGGCAUGAAGAAAGAGGAAGAACCAGCUGCCUACCUGAGCACACCAAGGAGCUGCAGUGAGGAACAAAAUGUGCUGGAGAUUGUUUAAUACGUAGUUUUCACAGACCUGGAUCAGAAGGCUGUAGUGCAGCCCUGGUACUUUUUUCUCCCAGGAUGAAUGCAGCCAGGACAUCUUACAGCACCCUGGCCUCCAUAGGUGUUGUAGUAGUGGGCAAAUUAUAUUUUAGUGCUGACUGGGUUUUGAGCUCUUUCUUGCGACUUAAGCAUGUUGGAUGAGUUUAAAUCUGAUUCCUCACUAAACCUCAAUACCUCUUGACUAAGAAAGAGAAAACAAUGCACGUUCCAUGCCAACUUCAGACGCAGGUAAACGGUGAUGUUAUUACUAUUCCUCAGGAGUAGUGUUUUUGGACUGUGUAGGCAAUAUCUGAGAAGAGUAGUUUUCACUGACCGUGAUAUUCUGAUAUUCAGAUAGUCCUCCUGCUAAUCUGGUAAAUGGAUACCUGAAAGGAUACCUGGCUAGCACUCAUCACAAAGCGGUAUAUCCACACAGCCCAAGGAUGUCCUGCUCUCAAACUGGCUAUAUUACCUCCAUCACUCUGAUUUACUAGGCACACACAGAAUUACUGCAUUCAGCCAGGAUUACGUAAGGUGGUAUUUCUGCUGGGGUCGGUGUGAGAACACCCUCGGCAGUAUUAGAGGUAUUAACAAAGGCAUGCGUUGGUCGUCACAAACCCACUGUCUUCCUGGAGGGUAGAAGUGCAAAGGGAACCUGCAGUAAAUGUAUAAAGAAAUGGCUUGUUUCUAAUUUGGGGUUUUUAGAGCAUGGUUCUGAUUCUUUGGUCCUUCCUCAGACAAAGCUCCUGUAGAUACAGUAAAAUUAAUUAAGUGACUACGUGCUAGCUGUGCAUUGAAAUCAUUGUAGCAAUACUGUGACAGCUUGUGAACUCCUCAUUUGCUUCCUGUGAAGCAAUCAUUUAAAUCAUUUACUUUUCCAGUUUCAGGUUUGUGUUUGAUUUCCAUUCUCAAAGCUAAGUGGAAAAAAAAAUGCCAAACAUGAAACUGAAAAGUGCAGUUACGCUGCUAACUAAAUCUUGCCUUCGCUUAAUCUUUUUUGACCCGUUCACUUUCUGUCACGGUGGCUGCAGAAACUGUACAAAAUAUUUUACAAAAUACUAUUUCAUAUAAAUAGAGCAACCACAACACUGCAAAAACAUGUUAAAGACACAAUCAAGACAAAAAGACAAUUCAGUAUUCCUUUAAAGCAUGCUGGGGAUCUAUCUCCUUUCAGAACCUUUCAUCAGGUUUUCUUUAACACCUGACAUAUUGGUCGAUAACAUAAAUACAAAAUAAAAAUGAAUGAAAGAGCCCUCUACCGUACAGAAUGCAGGGUUCCUUCGCGAUGAAAUACUCAAUAGUGAAUCAUGCAAUUGUUGGAGAGCUGUUGGCAAGUGUUUGAGUCAAAGGCAAAAAA